This 504-nucleotide ribosomal RNA is filed under the name uncultured bacterium. RNAcentral's name for it is "partial 16S ribosomal RNA". It matches the Rfam family "Bacterial small subunit ribosomal RNA", at positions 30 to 523 of the family's 1533-position model. The record is from RNAcentral.
AUUGAACGCUGGCGGCAGGCCUAACACAUGCAAGUCGAGCGGUAGCACAGAGAGCUUGCUCUCGGGUGACGAACGGCGGACGGGUGAGUAAUGUCUGGGAAACUGCCUGAUGGAGGGGGAUAACUACUGGAAACGGUAGCUAAUACCGCAUAACGUCGCAAGACCAAAGUGGGGGACCUUCGGGCCUCAUGCCAUCAGAUGUGCCCAGAUGGGAUUAGCUGGUAGGUGGGGUAACGGCUCACCUAGACGACGAUCCCUAGCUGGUCUGAGAGGAUGACCAGCCACACUGGAACUGAGACACGGUCCAGACUCCUACGGGAGGCAGCAGUGGGGAAUAUUGCACAAUGGGCGCAAGCCUGAUGCAGCCAUGCCGCGUGUGUGAAGAAGGCCUUCGGGUUGUAAAGCACUUUCAGCGGGGAGGAAGGCGGUGAGGUUAAUAACCUCAUCGAUUGACGUUACCCGCAGAAGAAGCACCGGCUAACUCCGUGCCAGCCGCCGCCGUAA